Molecule: transfer RNA, 71 nt
Filed under: Marmota monax (woodchuck)
Lineage: Eukaryota; Metazoa; Chordata; Mammalia; Rodentia; Sciuridae
Description: tRNA.Asp
Rfam family: tRNA
About the family: Transfer RNA (tRNA) molecules are approximately 80 nucleotides in length.
Source: RNAcentral
GGGGUUGUGGCUCAGUGGUAGAGCGCUUACCUAUCAUGUAUGAAGCACUGAGUUCCAUCCUCAACACCACA